GGACCGAUUUUCCUCGGCCGCGCGUGUCCCUCCUCGCCUCGUUUCGCGGCCGGGCCGUGCGCCUGCACGGCGGAGCGAGGGGCGAGGGAUUGGCUGACGGACGGGUGGGGGAACGGACGGAGUGAUUAUUGGACGCGGGGAUCCUCAACGAGCAAACUGAGACGGAUCGAUCGCAUAAAUCUCCCGCCACGGCGCAAUAUAAAGGCGAAAGGCGGUGGCGGCGGUUGCCUGGACGGAGGCGGCUCGAACGACUCGGCAUAAAUACGACUUAGCCGAGCCGCGAUCGACUAAUUGAGAAUUAUUCGGCCGCAAUAGCGUUCGCGUCGCCCGCUAAUUUCGCUGAGUUAUCGGUGGAGUUAAACGUAGCGUUCGGGGCGGAAGGAGCGCGGCUGGAUUACACGCGCCCCACCAAUGGGAUUUGCUGUAACGUAACGCGCCGUCUUCCCCUGUGCCACGUGAACGAGAGAGUUAGAAAUGGGGAGGGGAGGGAAGAGGGGGAGGGGGGGUUUCUCUCGGUGACCGGUUCGAUCUCCGAACGGGAAAAAUUUUCUCGGCGGUUAAGUGGUCUCCUCGGGCCAUCUGUCAUCCGACAACAUUUCGCUCGGUGUCACGAUUUCGCUCGCUGGCCCCAAGAUUUCCGCAGCAUGUGUCCCUUUAUUCGUUUCUAUGGAACUUGGAAAAAGAGAAGAAAAGGAAUACUUCGCUUUUGGGACGAAAGUUUUGAUAGAAUUUUGAAAUGAACGACAGAGGCAAAGAAAUAUCAGCCGUAUCUUUAAAUUUUUCAAACUCGAUAAAUAAUUUCACACAAAACGUUACGAACAUUCGAUUGAUUUAAUAAAAAAAAUUACACGAUAA
Long non-coding RNA from Apis cerana (Asiatic honeybee), 855 nucleotides. RefSeq lists it as uncharacterized. Lineage: Eukaryota; Metazoa; Arthropoda; Insecta; Hymenoptera; Apidae. The record is from RefSeq and is a predicted model, not a curated record.